GUCCCUUCCGUGGACAUCCAAUAAAAUUGGAACGAUACAGAGAAAUUAGCAUGGUUCUUGUGCAAAGAUGACACGCAUAUAUCGAGAAAUAGUCUAAUUUUUU
Molecule: small nuclear RNA, 103 nt
Organism: Salvia splendens (bonfire salvia)
Lineage: Eukaryota; Viridiplantae; Streptophyta; Magnoliopsida; Lamiales; Lamiaceae
Source: RefSeq, a predicted model, not a curated record